Molecule: long non-coding RNA, 869 nt
Filed under: Heterocephalus glaber (naked mole-rat)
Lineage: Eukaryota; Metazoa; Chordata; Mammalia; Rodentia; Bathyergidae
Description: lncRNA (ENSHGLG00100044029.1)
Source: RNAcentral
AGGAAUGAGGCCUGGGCCAGCUAAGCCAGCCUCCACCCAAGGCCGGCCUUCCACUUUCUACUUACAGGUAGUGACCAGCAAUUAGCCAGUUCCUGGCCUCGGCAUCCUGCUGCACCCAGAACAGAGCCCCUCCUUAGUGCACGCCCUGCAGAAUACCUGCCAAGCUUGCUAUACCCAGCCUGUCCCAGGCCUCACCCCCAUUUAGACCAAUACAGCCAGCAGGUAGGGAGCUAUAAAGGAGUCAGGAGUAUUGAUUGCGCACCUUAUCCAAGCCAGGCUCCUUAAUCUCACAGCUGGCCCAGCCUCUAGCUGCUGACUCAGUCUCCGGCACAAUCCUCCACACCUGUAUCAGCCCUGAGAAGUUUCGGAAACUCCAGCACCAGCUCUGGCGAAAAGAUCUCCAUGGUCCAAGGGCAGGGCCAGUGUUUUCCAACGCACCUUCUCAUUUGUUUCUCACACCCUCAGCUAUUGCCCCCAUUGACAAACAAGGAAACAACCUGCCACUCGUUCAACAGGUCUUAGGAGCACAGUGAGAGGCUGUGUGUGGAGAAUAAAAACAGGUGCUCUCCCGCUGGGAAAGAGCUGGGGGGGGGGCAAGGACAGUUGACUUCAACGUCCUCACUUACCAACUCUGUGUCCUGGGCGACCUCCUGGACCUCUCUGAGGUCAUUUCCUCUCUGGCAGGACAGGCCUGAUAGUCACACCGCAGCGGGCCAUGGUCAGGAUUCAGUGAGCUCACCAGGCCUGGCUCUGGCUGGAGCUCCAGAGCAGUGGCUUCUGUGACAAAGAACAAAGCCCCCGCGCAGCAGGGCGUUGGUAAUUAAAUCCUUUGUGCGCGAGCCGUCGCACCCCGCCCCUGCUGCUCUGUG